AGUGAAAGAUCGCAGUGGAAAAUAUUCUUCUUUUUCUUUUGUUCAUUAGAGGAGUCGUCUUUUUUCAACUAAACGUGAUUUUUUUUAGGCUGUUUUAUUUUGAUAAAAUUGUCCAUUAAGUUGUUUGUUUCGUAAAUUUCAAUGUGCUUUCAACGUGUAUUCUAAAUCAAAAUCUAAAAAAGAUUUCAUAAAAGUCAUGUGUCUUUUUACAGUUUACCUCAGUUAUUAAAAUCUUCUUCCUCAAUAAUUUGCACUUUGAAAUAUAAAAGACACGUUACCUAAGAAAAACAUAUUCAUUUCAUUGCUCAUCAUGUCGAUGUCAACCUGUUGUGACGUCCUUGGCCUCGUGUUGGGGGAGGGGGACUCUGGGGGGGGCUUUGCGUGCAGAUAUAAAUGUGGAGAGCCGGGUUCAUGGCGUUCGCCGCGGGUUGAAGAAGACUUCGAUGAUCCCCGAGGUUUUUAGUGAGGAAACGCGGAGUGACAACCGGAGUCAGGAGGCCCGGCAGAACGCAGACGCUACGAGGCCCCCCAUAACGGCUCGGACGAAAUCAAGAAGAAACCAAGAGGCUUUGGGGGGGCUUUGUUUUGGCAAGAGGGAGGAAAAGAGAGUUCCUUAAACCUAGUUUAUGCUUCUGCGUUUUCAGAGAGACGCAGGGACACGUAGACGCAAGAGCCCCUUGCGUGUCCCUUGUGUGUCCUUUGCGUGUCCCUUGCGUGUCCCUUGUGUGUCCUUUGCGUGUCCCUUGCGUGCCCCUUCACACCCCCUUGCGUCCACCCAUUUUUCUAGACCAGGGUCGUAAAGCGACUCAGCGUCCUGCAGCAGCAGGCUGUGAUUGGUCUCUGACUACGUCCUUCACGUAGUCUCACGUCUCCGUUUUCACAGCACAAUACGGCCGUUAUUAAAAGGAAGAACGUUUACGAGAGAACGGAUCAGAUUGAAGAGCUUUUAAAUAUGAGCGCUUGUACAAGCCGUCAUUGGCGGACUAUGAGGACGCCGGAUGGCCUCUGAUUCAUGGAGGGAGAUCUCCACAAACGAGGGGAACAAAGUUGUGGAGGAAAAUACGGGACAAAUGUGUCCUUGAUGAAAAGCAGCAGUGUGGAUGCACGGGGCAAUAAAGUCUAUGAUCAAUAAAUAAAGCAACCAGCGACUUCCACACACAAAGACGUGACUCUCUAGGUCGUCUUCAACAAAACACGUGACUCCACCUGUUGUUCUGGAGGUGAAUCGCUCUGCAACACACGCAGGACUUUACAACCAGGAAGUGAAACCAGUGCGUAAAGACGCAACGUAAAGACGCAGACGCCAGCCUUUAUUCUCCAUUUGAAAUGUGAACAGAUCAGGGACCUUAGAAAAAAAAGAAGAGGACCUAGUCGUCAUGGAGACGUCACUCGUCAGUUUGUGGACUUUUUAAAAUUUCAUUGUCAUUAUUCCUUUUUUUGAACGGGAAGUGACCAUAUUUGGACUGAGGAGGACGGCAUAUACGCCUCUAGUAGAGACCUGUCAAUCACAGUGUUGCCCCGCCCUAAAGAAGCCCCCACUUCAUGGUCUACUAGAAGGUCAUGCGACUCCCAAACAGAUGUCAAGCGGUUCUCCUCAAUGUGAAACAGGACUAAUUAGAGACCCUUUUGGGAGAAGGUCUGCAGCUAUUGAACUUUGACUUCCUGUCAGUAGGAGGGCGUUUGUGCAAGGAAAGUUUCCACUGAUUUUAUUUACUUUACAGUUUUGCACUUUAGGAGACACAAAUUCAGUGUGUUUAACAUUUUUGGAGACUGGUCCUGCAGGUUUACUUAUUUUAGCUAAAUAAUUACUUCUUCUCCACAAUAAUAGAAAGAGGAACAAUGUGUGAAUCCACAUCUUCUGAGAGAAAGGAAAACAUCACGGCUAAUCUUUUAAAACAUUCUACGCAGAGAAUAAACAUGAAUUAGUAAAUGAAAAUACAAAUAUAGAAAAAAAGGAAGGUUGGAUUAAAAUUUUUGUUAAAAAGAAUUAAAAUGAAAUAAUGUAUGUCACAAUUUAUUAGACAUCAUUAAUUAAACGUAAUGUAAGACAAACCAAAGAGACAAUAAUAAACAAAGGCAUUUUGUUACCAGAUGAGUAUUAUAAGUAAUACAGGAGGAGGAACAAGCAGUUUAUCACAUGCAGAGCGGAGAGUGCGGGUCGGGAUGUCAGGUUGGACCAGGUCCUGGAUGUAAGCUGGACCCCAUCCAUUCACAGCACGGUACCUGAGCACCAUGUUUAGAACUGGAUGAGCCACCGGUACCAGUGAAGAGAGCAGAGGAGUGGAGGAGUGAGGGAGAACUUAGGAAGCUUAAAGACCAGUGGAGCUGCUGCAUUCUGGAUGAGCUGCAGAGGUGGAAUGGUGGUAGCAGGAGACCUGCAGGAGAGAGUCACAGUAGUCCAGGAGGGAGAAGAGCCUGAAUCAGUACCCGGGCAGCCUUCUGAGUGAGAAGAGGACGUGUUCUCCUGUUGUUGUAGAGCGUGUAUCUGCAGGAUCGUGUUGUCAGUGAUGUUGGGAGUCAGGGAUGUUAUAAUGCGGUGCUUAAUCAUAAACACGAGGACACUCUUCCAGGUCUCACCUCACUGGGUUGUAAACUUUAAUACAUUUUCACGUCGCGUGUACGGUCCAUCUUGCUCGGUCUGGUUACAAGGCAGUGUUUCACAAUAACAGUCCGUGUGACUCACGGAACUAAACAAUAGUUCCUACUUAUAGUUCCUAUUGUUACAAGGGAGAGUCGGCUGUCAAGUGUCACACCGAGGUUCCCAUCACGGAACAAUGUAUAAUUAUGUUCAUUAACUCAUUAACAUCAUGUUAAAUAAAGGCUACACAAAGGUCAAGUGUAGGACUUGGAGUCUCCGUACUGCCUGAAGAUGGUUUUGUCUUCUUUGUCUUUCAUAAUCCUUGUUACGUUUCCACCUCAGUUGGAGCUCAAUGGAGGUGGGGAACGUAAACGCCUGUGCUUACGCACCCAGUGUAACCAGCGGUGGACGGUGAAGUAGUGUGGGGUGCAGCUGACCAAAAAUAAAGAGGCAUGACACCCGAAACUCACUUUUGGUUCUUGUGGGACAUUUAGUAAAACAAAAAGACAAAACACAAGAAAGUACACACACAACCCAGGAAGGGAGGAAAAGGGUGUCAUGCCUCUUCAUUUUUGGUCAGCUGCACCAUUUUCUGAGGCAUUUCUUGCGUUCGUAAUUACGCACACGUCGCCUGGGUAGCAUGCUUGACUUAAUUAACUCUGUGCUUGCUCCUAUGUGGACUGGAGAAGAAGUCCCGUGUUCUACAUUUGUGAUCCCAGGAAGUUCAGAGAAGGCUGCUGGUGAGAUAGAAAAGACAAUGGUCUCCUCUGGUGACGGUUGAAGAGUGCUAUUGACUAGGCGUAUCGAAGCUAAUAGCUUCUCCCUAGCCAAGGAUCUGAGUUUAGCUAAAUGUUUUGCCUCGGUUGUGAAGUUGGAGAAAACCACUAAGACAGAUGUGAAAUAUUACAUUGAGGACGGUCUACUAAUGAGAAUAUGGACUCCCAGUAUGGACCCAGGGAAGGAUUGGAGUUCGGUUUUGCAGAUUGUAGUUCCAGCCUUGUUUCGGACAAAUGUAAUGUCUUUAGCUCAUGAUAUUCCCUGGUCUGGUCAUUUAGGGGUGACUAAAACGUAUAAUCGGCUCCUCCGUCAUUUCUUUUGGCCGGGAAUGAAACAGGAUGUUGCUUGUUUCUGCCGUACAUGUAGUACGUGCCAAGUGGUAGAGAAGCCUAACCAGGUAGUUUCCCCCGGCUCCUCUAUGUCCGAUUCCGGUGAUGGGAGAGCAGUUUGAGAAGGUGUUAAUUGAUUGUGUUGGUCCCUUACCACGGACUAAGUCCGUAAAUCAAUUCAUGCUUACAAUAAUGUGUACUGCUACUAGGUACCCUGAAGCAAUUCCUAUGCGUACAGUCACCAGUAAGGCAGUGGUGAAAGACGUGAUUAAGUAUUUCUCUACUUUCGGGUUCCCCAAAAACCAUAUAAACGGAUCAAGGAACAAAUUUUACAUCUAAAUUGUUUGAGGGAGUGUUGAAGACCUUGUCGGUGACCCAUCAGUUGUCUAGUGCUUGCCACUCGGAGAGUCAGGGUGCGCUGGAACGUUGGCAUCAGACCCUAAAGGCCAUGUUAAGUAAAUACUGCAAGGACACGGAGAAGGAUUGGGAUGAAGGGAUUCCAUAUGUGCUGUUUGCUAUUCGGGAGACUGUGCAAGAGUCUCUUGGGUUUAGCCCCGCUGAGCUAGUCUUUGGUUACACGGUGAGAGGCCCUCUAAAGAUACUGAAAGAACAAAGUAUGGCUAGGGAUACAACGGGGUCUUCUACUAACAUUCUGGACUAUGUAAGUCAAGUCCGAGAAACGUCACAUUGACAUGAUUAAAGCAUAUCAGGUUAGAGAUGGUUCCAAAUCUGUUACAAGUACAAUUCCGGUGGUUGCCUCUGUUGUCGCUGUUAACCUGGUUACCCAACCUGGAGUCUGGGUAACUGAUGAGGACAGUUUGGUGAUGCAAAAUACUCCAGAGCAGUGUGCUCGUUUGGGUAAUUCUGAGAUGUUGGCAUCUCUUCCCUCACAUUUGGCGGAUUUGAGUGAUCAGCAGAGUCCUGAUAUAAAGUUACUAAUUUCUGAGUCUUAUUAAUGUGUUGAAACACGAUAUAAAGGUAAGCGAUGAUGCGCCAAUCAAACAAACGUAUCGUGUUAAUUUAAGUCAGAGAUCAGUAAUGAACGCCGAGGUAAAUUAUUUAAUAAAAAAUGGAAUGGCAGUCCCCAGUAGCAGUCCCUGAUUGCUGAUUCCAAAGCCAGACGGGACACACAUGUUUUGCACGGACUACCGUAAUGUGAAUAAGGUUACGAUCCCUGACUCAUUUCCUUUACCUCCCAUGGAUGUUUGUAUCGACACCAUUGGAUCAGCUGCUCAUGUCACUAACUUGAUUUGUUAAAAGCAGAGGUGUCAAAAGUAUUCACAUUCAUUACUCAAGUAGAAGUACAGAUACUAGGGUUUAAAAAGACUCCUGUAGAAGUUGAAGUAAGUUGAGUACCAACUCAAGCUUUUUACUUAAGUAAAAGUAUAAAAGUACUGGUUUCAAAACUACUUAAAGUAUAAAAGUAAAAGUAAUGUAAGAAAUUCCAUUAAGGACAAACUCUUAAUGCGUAACCUCGCUCACACAACACGUCAGUCCGUUACAAUAUGAUCAGAAGGUGCCUGCAGAUCACGUGACCUGCCGUUGAGAUGAUGGAAACAUGGCGACAUUCAGAGACACAACAAAACAACACGUGUAUCUGACUUAAACAGAUAAAACCACAACCCAUUUUCCAGUGACACGAGUCACACACGUUGUUCGCAUUGAUUAGGUAGACUGCAAUGUUUCCCCCAGGUUUACUACGUCAUGGGGGGGUGGGGGGCGCACCCCUGUUUAUAAUGAUGGAAACACUGAACUGGCAGCGGUCGGUUAUCAAAACAUUGGCCAAAUAACCAGAAUGUUCAGGCUUUAUGAGAAAAUACAGAAUCCCUUUGUGUUCAUUUGCAAAGCCACGUUAAGACACACAUCACUUUAUUUAAUACGCUGCACUACUUGCAAGUCGCUGUGUUGUGCCAGACUCUCAAUAAAACAUUUAGGACAAACCCACAGUCAUGAAGAUACUCAUUUAACGUUACAUGGAAUCUGCAUGAGGAAGAGGAGGAGGAAGAGGAGCAGGGUCCAUGUCGCUAAAUACCAACUUUCCACCGACCACUUUUCUCACCCGGUGUCGCUCCGAUCUGCUGGCGCAUCGCGGAGAAAACCAAUCGGGUGUCUGGAUGCUAAAUGUUUAUACUUCUCAUCCUAACAAAAUCAAAUGCACUCUGUCCGGAUAGCGUGAUUAAUCUGAAUAGGUUGUUUUUGUGUUUGUGUUUUUGAACUACGACAAGCCGGAAGUAACGAGACUGUCUUUAAAAUGUAAGGAGUAGAAAGUACAGAUAUUUGCGUGAAAAUGUAAGGAGUAGAAGUAAAAAGUUGUCUGAAAAAUAAAUACUCCAGUAAAGUAUAGAUACCCAAAAUUUCUACUUAAGUACAGUAACAAAGUAUUUGUACUUUGUGACCUGACACCUCUGGUUAAAAGGGUAUUGGCAGGUACCUUGAACCCCUCGGGCCUCUGAGGUGUCGGCUUUUGUAACCCUGGACAGUUUCUGCCAGUACACGGUGAUGGCGUUUGGAAUGAGGAACGCCCCAGCCACGUUUCAACGGUUGGUAAAUAUCGUAUUGUCGGAUAUUCCUGAUUGUACAGCAUACCUGGACAACCUAGUGAUUCAUUCGACUACCUGGCCUGAUCACGUAGGCACGUUGAGGGCUGUGUUUGCACGCUUGGCCAGUGCAUCGUUAACCCUCCACUUGGCCAAAUGUGAAUUUGGAAAAGCAACUGUAACGUAUUUGGGUAAGGAGGUGGGAAGAGGUCGGGUUCGCACCGUAACUGCCAAAAUAGCCGGUUUCCUGCCCCUGCUACUCUGCGUGAAUUGCGCAGGUUGUUGGGCAUGACUGGGUAUUAUCGAACCUUUUGCAAGAAUUUCUCCUGUCGUAGCCCCACUGACCCAAUUACUCAGUCCUUCUGUAUCAUUUAAGUGGACUGAUGAGUGUCAGUCUGCUUCUGAGUCUGUGAUAGACCUAUUAUGCACUUCUCCGGUUCUUUCUGCCCCUGAUUUUGAAAACCAUUUAAGUUAGAGGUGGGUGUGGGUGCUGUACUGUUGCAGGAACAUGAUGGAGUAGAUCACCCAGUUUGUUACUACUCAAAAAAAUUCAACAGUUGCCAGUCCCGUUACUCUACCAUAGAACAGGAGACUCUGGCGCUGUUGUUUGCAUUACAGUUUUUUGCAAACUUGUUUUUGUCAAGUUUAUGUUGGCUCGAGUGUAUUGCCUGUUGUGGUAUAUACUGACCACAAUCCUUUAGUUUUUUUGGGCCGCAUGUACAACCACAACCAACGUCUCAUGCGUUGGCCGUUGGUUAUAGAAAGUUAUAAUUUAGAGAUAUGACACAUAAAGGGGUCAGAAAAUGUGGUUGCUGAUGCUCUGUCUCGUUUUUAAAUGGAAAGGCCUGUGAUCUUUUUGUGUUCGAUUACUUCUCUAACUUUUGUUGGGACCACUGUAAAAGUUACUUACAGACCAUGUCGUAAUCCCACGACAUGUCCCAUGUUUUGUUCUGUGCCUUUAACUGUGCCCCUUUCUCGGUUCACAGGUGUGCGGUGCUGGGUGGCUGUUGGCGAGGAGGCGUGGCCGGUGAAGACCUGGGGAGUAAUCGGCUAACGAGCUGAUUGCCUGUAGAAACCAGCCUGGUUGCUGCAGAGGAAAAAGAGAAAGGAGGGAGAGGCCUUGUGUUUUGUAUGGCCUGUCAAAGACGUUUUGUGUUGAAUCCUGCCGGGUGAGAUCCCGUUGUGCUCUACCGGAGUUCUGGAGAAGGUGCAGGUAGUUCUGCCCAUGUGUGUACAUUUGCAUCACGUAGGUAAAUCUUUGUUACACACACUGUGUUAGCUGGGCGGGGGUCACCCCUGUAGUUUUGGCCAUAGAGAGGUAAGCUGGUUAGGGAUAGACUGUGUUAGGCAGACUGUGUAGAAGAAAAGGGACCUUUUGUUUAUUUCAUUACUUCUCCCCCCUUCCUUGGUUGUGUGUGUACGUCGGCUGCUGGUUACACUGGGUGCGCAAGCACAGGCGUUUAAUUUCCCACCUCCAACGAACGUAACAAUCCUCCACUCGAGAAAUUCGUGUGAGGCCUUAAAGCUUUGUCACUUUUAGUGAUGGACGUUCGGAUCAUUUUACUGACUCUGUUCUUUCAAUCUCUAUCAGUAAAAUUGUUGCGUCCCCCACCUCUGGUGUUUGUUGCUACACGUGUUUGGGUGCAGGCUGUGUCCUGAUUACAGAUGAGCCGCACCUGAGCAGAACCUGUGUUGGCGCUACAAAGGCUUCCUGGACCGUUCUCGGGGGGGUGGGGGGGGCACACAGAUCCCUCAGAGUGCACAACGGUGCUGCUGCUGCCAAGAUCGCCGUCCACCCGGCAGUGAAAAUGUUCCGCAUUUGUAUUAUUUAGUUUGUUAAGAUACCAUUUAAUAUCCAUUUUGUUAAAUAAAAUACCCCUAGAUUAUUUUGAUACACGUAACAAAACAGAACAUCUUUUUUCCAUUCAUUCAUUUCAACGGGGGGGGGGGGGGGGGGGCUAAAUGCGUCCACUGCCAACACGUAGCAUAUUCUCAUGUAGGUUAGUGCAUGUAAACCAGUAGAUACUAAUUCAUAAGGAAAUUCUUGCAUUAAAAUAAUGUAUCAUGACAGUUUGGAUGAUUUGAACCGCUCAUUUAUUAUCACACUUUCUUCUGACUAUCAGUCUAUAACCAUCCCGAUGCGCCGCCACGAGAAAAUGAACAAAUUUUGUUCUGAAAGACUCGUUACUCCGAGUCCUUCAGAACGGACGAUGUCACUUUAUCUGAUGUCUUAUUGAAGAAAAGAACCAGUCACAUGUCUUCACCACACUUUCCACCUUCAUCCUUGCGCAACGUUCAGGUGGCGUGUGUGUGUGUCCUGGUUUUCUCUCAGCGGCGUCAAGCUCUCUGUUGCACUCCGACCCCUAAAGGACCCUACCAACCCCCCGGUGACCUCUGACCAUGUUGUGUUCCUGUUCUACAUUGAACAGUCCCGCCGCUCUUUUCCCUCUUCCAGCGGCGAGCUCGCGGGCAGCAGACGCUCUUGCUGGGCUGCCAAACGUGUUGCAGAAAAAUGUGUUUGUGAAACGCUUUCCAGGAAGAGUUGAUCAGUUUAACCUCCAUCGUCCCUGCUGAGUCCUGAGGCUCCAUCACAACAAUCUUCUGUUUUAUUUAAAGAACCUCCAGGAAAACCAACAGAUUGUGUACUGAAUGAUUGCUGAAAUGUUUGUUUGUGAAUGAACAUAAACUUGAAUUAUUUCAAUGGUAAUUAUUGGAAUAUAUUUAUAGGAAACACGUAUUUCUCUACAUUUAGCUCAUUUGACUGCCCUGAUUAAUCUGAAAUCUGAGGGAUCUCUGGUCACCUUCCUCUACAUCUUUAUCUUCACCAGGAGGAAACUGUCUGCUUUUGUUCCUUUGAUGCUCACAUGUUCAUGUGUGUCAGAUGCUUGACAGAUAGGAGAGAUUUUACACUUUAUUGCAAAAUGCAUGACAAUCGAUAAGUAACCACAGCACUCCACCCUUUAAUGCUGAAGGUGAAGUUAAACCUUCUCUGUGGACACACAAACUCUCCUCCAAACUAUCAGGAGACAUCUGACGAUGUCUCCGAGGACGUCUCCGGAUGCCUUCGGAGACGUCCGGUGACAGUUUGCUGCCAGCCUGACGAUAAAGGAGCAGGUCCUGAGGGAUCUGGACCCGGGCCGGGCCUCGUGGCAGCAGAACAGAGGCCUAGCCGGGCAUUAAUAUGGAUGUCCACCAGGCGCCUCUCUGUGCGAGCUGCCACCAGCCGCUCUGUGCCAGCCAAUAGCAGCGCAGAGGCUACCUGCCAAGGUCAUCAAUAAACAUCCUCAGAUGGCUCCUUGUGUCUCCAGCACAGCGGCCUGGAGAGGGUCCACGGGGGGUACUUUCACUGCUCAGAACUUUGCUUGCUUCAGAGACAGCAGCAGAUAAAGUACUUCUGCUACUGAGACAAUCGAUGGAACAUCAAGAAGCUGCCUGUUGAAUUCUCCAUCUGGUCCAUUUGGUGACUUAUGUGUAGAUUAAAUAGGCGGGAUGUGUGUCAGCGUUAAACCCAAAGUGACUCACUCCGCUAACACCUAACGUCACAUUUCAGGGGCUGGAGAGAAAAAAACACAAAUCCUGUAGAAACAUCAGUCCAAAGAGU
Gasterosteus aculeatus aculeatus (three-spined stickleback) is the source of this 9822-nucleotide long non-coding RNA. The record is from Ensembl. NCBI's taxonomy places the organism in Eukaryota, Metazoa, Chordata, Actinopteri, Perciformes, Gasterosteidae.